CCUACGGGGUGCAGCAGUCGAGAAUCAUUCACAAUGGGGGAAACCCUGAUGGUGCGACGCCGCGUGGGGGAAUGAAGGUCUUCGGAUUGUAAACCCCUGUCAUGUGGGAGCAAAUUAAAAAGAUAGUACCACAAGAGGAAGAGACGGCUAACUCUGUGCCAGCAGCCGCGGUAAUACAGAGGUCUCAAGCGUUGUUCGGAAUCACUGGGCGUAAAGCGUGCGUAGGCUGUUUCGUAAGUCGUGUGUGAAAGGCGCGGGCUCAACCCGCGGACGGCACAUGGUACGGCGAGACUAGAGUAAGGGAGGGGGAACCGGAAUUCUCGGUGUAGCAGUGAAAUGCGUAGAUAUCGGGAGGAACACUCGUGGCGAAGGCGGGUUCCUGGACAGUAACUGACGCUGAGGCACGAAGGCCAGGGGAGCGAAAGGGAUUAGAUACCCGGGUAGUC
RNAcentral lists this ribosomal RNA (446 nucleotides) under uncultured bacterium. RNAcentral describes it as "partial 16S ribosomal RNA". It matches the Rfam family "Bacterial small subunit ribosomal RNA", at positions 338 to 795 of the family's 1533-position model. The record is from RNAcentral.